AUUUAUAUAAAUUUUUAAUGUGUCAUUAUUUAUAAUAUUAAAAAUUUGUUUGAUUGAUAUAUACAGUUUAUAUAUUAUUUAUAUAUUUAUAUAUUAAUAAUACUAUACAUAUAAAUUAAUGAACAUUUUUAUUUAUAUAUUUAUGUAUUAAUAAUACUAUACAUAUAAAUUAAUGAACAUUUUUAUAUUAUACAAAAAAUAGGCUAGUAUACUUUUUAAAAUAUGGAGAUUUUCAUACUUUUAAGUUGUUUUGGCGAGUGGUUUCAUUAGAUUUGAUAUGGAAUAUUUGAAAUAUCUUGAAAAUAAAUUUUGUAAUUAUUUGAUAUUACUUACCUAAUAAUCGAAGGGUUGAAAAUCAACAAUUUUAAUAAUUGAUAAAAGCCGUUUGCAAGUUUAACAAUAUAAAAAUAUCUAAAUCGAAUAAAAAUUCGAUCGAAAAUUCUUUAUAUUAUAAAAAAUACGAUCAAUAUUUUUGAUGUAAAAUUUUCGCUUUAUAUUAUUAUUUUUUUUAGAUUAUUAUUAUCAUCAGUUAAUUUUUUGUCAUUUCAAUUACUAGAUAAAUGAUAUAUAAAAUAUCGUAAAAUUUAUUUUCAUUAAAUAAUUUAGAUCAAAUAUGACGAAGCCGAUCGAUUGUUGAAUAUAAAGUCCCAUCAUGCAAAAUAACUUAAAAAUACGAAGUUCUCAGUGUUUCUGAAAGCGCACAAGACUGACUCUUAAAAAUGUAAGUACAUUAAU
This 735-nucleotide long non-coding RNA is filed under the name Ananas comosus (pineapple). Its description in RNAcentral is "long non-coding RNA (ACOM_LNC027417)". Lineage: Eukaryota; Viridiplantae; Streptophyta; Magnoliopsida; Poales; Bromeliaceae. The record is from RNAcentral.